UACGUAGGGUGCAAGCGUUGUCCGGAAUUAUUGGGCGUAAAGAGCUCGUAGGCGGUCUGUCGCGUCGGCUGUGAAAUCCCGGAGCUCAACUCCGGGUCUGCAGUCGAUACGGGCAAACUGGAGUGCUGCAGGGGAGACUGGAAUUCCUGGUGUAGCGGUGAAAUGCGCAGAUAUCAGGAGGAACACCGGUGGCGAAGGCGGGUCUCUGGGCCGAUACUGACGCUGAGGAGCGAAAGCGUGGGGAGCGAACAGG
This 253-nucleotide ribosomal RNA is filed under the name uncultured bacterium. RNAcentral's name for it is "partial 16S ribosomal RNA". It matches the Rfam family "Bacterial small subunit ribosomal RNA", at positions 524 to 776 of the family's 1533-position model. The record is from RNAcentral.